CACGCCGUAAACGAUGAGCACUAGGUGUCGGGGUCGCAAGACUUCGGUGCCGCAGUUAACGCAUUAAGUGCUCCGCCUGGGGAGUACGCACGCAAGUGUGAAACUCAAAGGAAUUGACGGGGACCCGCACAAGCAGCGGAGCAUGUGGUUUAAUUCGAAGCAACGCGAAGAACCUUACCAGGACUUGACAUCCCUCUGACAGUCCCUUAACCGGGAUUUCCUUCGGGCAGAGGUGACAGGUGG
RNAcentral lists this ribosomal RNA (243 nucleotides) under uncultured Eubacteriales bacterium. RNAcentral's name for it is "uncultured Clostridiales bacterium partial 16S ribosomal RNA". It matches the Rfam family "Bacterial small subunit ribosomal RNA", at positions 796 to 1041 of the family's 1533-position model. The record is from RNAcentral. Lineage: Bacteria; Bacillati; Bacillota; Clostridia; Eubacteriales.